Long non-coding RNA from Nothoprocta perdicaria, 2207 nucleotides. RefSeq lists it as uncharacterized. The record is from RefSeq and is a predicted model, not a curated record. Lineage: Eukaryota; Metazoa; Chordata; Aves; Tinamiformes; Tinamidae. The transcript has 2 exons.
GCAGCACGUCGGGCUGCGCUCGGCCUCUCGGCCCUCACGGGGCCUGGGCUGGAGGCUGCUGCCCUUCCCCGGCUCGCAGCCACACUGUCCUGGGAGAGGUGGGAGCCAGGGCUGCAUCCCGGCCCGUCUCCCUUCAUAGUGAGCACUCUUACAAUGCCUUGGGUGCACCCAAGCUGCAGUUAGUGCAGACUGUUCUUUUUAAUCAAAGUAUUUGCUUUAAGGUCAAGAAAUUAUUUUAAAAUAACAGUAUGCUUGUAGCUGUUCACCUAAUUGAAUGUGGGAAACCCACUUAACCACCUCCCCCUGAAAUCACUGAUUUGCAAUCAUGCUGCUCUUCUUGUAGCAAUAUUUCUUUGACGGGCAUCGCUCGGAGUUUCCUGAGCACAGCUGUGCUGCUCUGGGCCAGUCGGAGCGCACAAAGGCAUUGCUUGGAAUUUCUAGCAAGCAGAUGUGCACGGUUUUCCAAGUGCAGUGCAGGACAGGUGUACGGGUGAGCCCCUACCCCAAAAAAUGAGGAAAACUGUUCACAAGAUAACUCCACAGGAGUAAGAAAUUCAUCAAAGACUUUACUGGCUGUCACCUAUGUAGAAAGUYAUGGUUGCUCUGUAAGUAAAAUGACUUUAACUAGCAGUAAUGAGUAAAAUUUAAUGGAUUUUUAGUUAAGAUAUCUAUACAAUCUAGUUCUGUUUAUGUUUGACUCACAAACAUUUUAUAUUUUGUUCAAUAGAAGCAGGUUUCUUUUGAACUCCAGCCUCCUCCUGUCUCUUUGGAAUUUACUUCAACUGACUUGCAUCAAAUGACAGGGGUUUCCAGAUACCCCUUUGGGACUGUUUCCCUGGUCCUGCUUCCCUCGGCAGACUUGCCUCCUAGUGAUAUUUAAGAUGUAAUUACACUGUUGUUGAAUGUUGAACAGCYGUGCUCUCGAAACUGCUGCUGUUCCUAUCACUGCAGAUGUGUGGGAUUUUUAAUGUGUGGCUUCCUCAGACGAUAAAGAAGUGAGAGAUCAGUCGCCAUAAACAAAGAUCUGAAGGUAUCAAUUUUGUCUUUUUGUUUUCAGAGGGUCCAUAUGGAAUAUUUGCUGGCAGAGAUGCCUCCAGGGGACUAGCAACUUUCUGUCUAGAUAAAGAUGCACUCAGAGAUGAAUAUGAUGACCUAUCGGACUUAAAUGCUGUACAGAUGGAAAGUGUUAGAGAGUGGGAAAUGCAAUUUAAAGAAAAAUACGACUACGUAGGUAGACUCCUAAAACCAGGGGAAGAACCAUCAGAAUAUACAGAUGAGGAAGAUACCAAGGAUCACACUAAACAGGAAUGAACUUUGUAAACAACCAAAGUCAGGGGCCUUCGGAACUGCAACCUCUUAUUCCCCAUCACAGAAUGUCCUGCAUCUUUGGGUACAGUUCAUCUGCUGCGAAAAACAUUCAACAGGUUUUGUACAAGGAAAAUAACAUACUCACAAGUGAAGAUUUGAAUACUAGACAUUAUUUGUGCUGCCAAACUUUUUUGUUGCAGUUUAUUUGUAAUGUCUGGUAAGGCUUCAUUGAAGAAGAGGGGCCAGGGUUUAAAGGCAAAAACGCUAUUCCUUUUUAUCAGUAAGCUGAAGCCUUCAAAUAGCAUAAACUACAAACUCUAAAGACAUGAGCCUUCCAGCUCAGUGAAAGAUUUGAAUCUUGUUUCAUGUGUGUCUUCAGCAUUAAAGAUGUGCUCACGUGCAUYAGUAUCAGUAGGUUGGGCUACUGAAACUGGUGUUAAAAUGUGAAUUUCCAAUUUUGUUUUGUAUGUGGGCCUUAGGAGCCCUGGCAGAAUACUUCAGUUCUCCAAGAGAGGUCCAUGUAGAUUAGGAUGGGGUUAAAAUGCAUCCUUUUCUCAAAAGGAUUGGGUAAAAGCAUUUCUUCUGUGGCAACUGUUAUCUGAAGCUGCCUCCUCCCCCCUGCCCUUUCCCGUCCUCUAAAUCAAAUCAAAUAUUAAUUGUGCCUUAUUUCACUUGCAUAGACUUGAAUUGUUUUAAGGGAAAGCCCCCAAAAUGUGGCUUCGCAGUCACUACAAGCAGCAUUGAGACUGAAGCUAGAAUGUUCUGUUGACUGGAAAACCUUGAUAUCAUUCUGUGUAUAGAAUGUAAAAGAGGAAUACUCAGUGUUACUGCCAUAUGUUAAUACUACAUAUACUUAAAUUUAGCAUUGUGAUGGCCAAAUGCAUACUCCCAUGCUUCUU